Molecule: ribosomal RNA, 774 nt
Filed under: uncultured Neocallimastigales
Lineage: Eukaryota; Fungi; Neocallimastigomycota; Neocallimastigomycetes; Neocallimastigales
Description: partial large subunit ribosomal RNA
Rfam family: Eukaryotic large subunit ribosomal RNA
Source: RNAcentral
UACUAGAGUAGCACUUGCAUAUCAAUAAGCGGAGGAAAAGAAACUAACAAGGAUUCCCCUAGUAACGGCGAGUGAAGCGGGAAGAGCUCAAAUUUGAAAUCUUAAAGGGUUUCCCUUUACGAAUUGUAGUUUAAAGAAGUGUUUUCUGUUGAGGUUUUGGUAAAAGUUCUUUGGAAUAGGACAUCAUAGAGGGUGAGAAUCCCGUAUUUGACCUUUACUUUCAACUUUGUGAUACACUUUCAAAGAGUCGGAUUGUUUGGGAAUGCAGUCCAAAAUGGGUGGUAAAUUUCAUCUAAAGCUAAAUAUUGGCGAGAGACCGAUAGCGAACAAGUACCGUGAGGGAAAGAUGAAAAGAACUUUGAAAAGAGAGUUAAACAGUACGUGAAAUUGUCAAAAGGGAAGCGUUUGACACCAGUGUUGUUUUUCUGAAAAUCAAUUAAAGAACUGUUUAUGCUAAGCUGUUUAGACUUUAUCAGCUAUCUGUUUAGUUUUGAGCUUUUCUUUAAUGCACUUUUCAGUUAACAAGUCAACAUCAAUUUCUUUUGCUGUAAAAAAGCUUGAGGAAGGUGGCUUGAGAUUCGUCUUAAGUGUUUAUAGCCUCUUGCCUAUGCAGUCGGAGAGAUUGAGGUCUGCAGCGUAGAUCCUUCGGGGCUAAAUGCAUUUGUGCUAAGUUAUAGCAUUUUAUAGACAACUUGUUGACUAUGAUUUGUCUUGUAGCUUACUCGCUUAUGUUAUUUUACCUACGCUUAGGAUGUUGAACUCUAUCACACACAG